UACGGGGGGGGCAAGCGUUGUUCGGAAUUACUGGGCGUAAAGGGCUUGUAGGCGGCCAACUAAGUCCGACGUGAAAUCCCCAGGCUUAACCUGGGAACUGCGUCGGAUACUGGAUGGCUUGAAUUCGGGAGAGGGAUGCAGAAUUCCAGGUGUAGCGGUGAAAUGCGUAGAUAUCUGGAGGAAUACCGGUGGCGAAGGCGGCAGCCUGGACCGACAUUGACGCUGAGGAGCGAAAGCUAGGGGAGCAAACGGG
Molecule: ribosomal RNA, 253 nt
Filed under: uncultured bacterium
Lineage: Bacteria
Description: partial 16S ribosomal RNA
Rfam family: Bacterial small subunit ribosomal RNA
Source: RNAcentral